Molecule: long non-coding RNA, 1020 nt
Filed under: Homo sapiens (human)
Lineage: Eukaryota; Metazoa; Chordata; Mammalia; Primates; Hominidae
Description: Pvt1 oncogene
Source: RNAcentral
AUCCCUUUUAAUCUGGGCUGGCUUUGUGACUGGUUUUAACAAAUAGGCUGAAGCAAAAGUGAUUUGGGGUGAGUUCCAGAGGUCUUGUGAUUUUUGCCUUGACCUUUUUGGAAUGCUUCUGACUUCAUGUAAAGGAGCCUGCACUGGCCUACUGGAAGCCUUUUGGAGAGAAAGAUACAACCAACAGUCAUUACCAACCAGGACGAGCUGACAUUGACAGACUACAAAUGUACAAUGAGCCCAAUCAGCACCACUUGGAGCAGAAGAACUGCCUAGGCCUCCAGGUGUCUGCAUUCUGAUCCUUGAAGAGUUCAUGGACCUAAGUUAAGAACCUCUCCUCAAGAGACUGAAUGCAGGCAGAGAUGGCUUAUUGGUUCAUCACAGGUUAUGUGAACUACCCACUAUUAAAAAACGAAGUCACAUGGAAGAUAAAUAACAUGCUCAACAUCACCCAGCCAGAAGUGGUGGAGACAUGGCCAACAUCACAGGGGACAACUCCUGAGCCUGUGCUAGGAACAGCCAGUCUUCCUGAAUUCAUGAUAAAGUAAACAUAAGAAAGGAAAACUUUUGUACGGUGAACUUGGGCUAAAAAGAAGAAUGAUGUCUCUGGAACUUUUGCUGCUUAUAGGAAUGAGAGCAAAAUCCUGGCAUGACCAUGAUCCUUCAAUGAGCACCACUGUGUUGCUGCAUUCUGUCUGGCCAAUCUAGUCUAUAAUAGUUUUUUGUUUUGUUUUGAUUUUUGUGUGUUUUUUUGUUUGUUUGUUUGUUUUGAUGGAGUUUUGCUCUUAUUGCCCAGGCUGGAGUGCAAUGGCAUGAUCUCAGCUCACUGCAACCUCCUCAUCCCAGGUUCAAGCGAUUCUCCUGCCUCAGACUCCUAAAUACCUAGGAUUACAGGCACCUGCCACCAUACCCAGCUAAUUUUUGUAUUUUUGAUAGAGAUGGGGUUUCACCAUGUUGGCCAGGCUUGUCUGGAACUCCUGACCUCAGGUGAUCCACCUGCCUCGGCCUCCCAAAGUGCUG